AUUGAACGCUGGCGGCAUGCCUUACACAUGCAAGUCGAACGGCAGCAUGGAAGAGCUUGCUCUUCUGAUGGCGAGUGGCGAACGGGUGAGUAAAGCAUCGGAACGUACCGUGUAGUGGGGGAUAACGUAGCGAAAGUUACGCUAAUACCGCAUACGCACUGAGGUGGAAAGCAGGGGAUCGCAAGACCUUGCGCUAUACGAGCGGCCGAUGUCAGAUUAGCUAGUUGGUAGGGUAAAGGCCUACCAAGGCGACGAUCUGUAGCGGGUCUGAGAGGAUGAGCCGCCACACUGGGACUGAGACACGGCCCAGACUCCUACGGGAGGCAGCAGUGGGGAAUGUUGGACAAUGGGGGAAACCCUGAUCCAGCCAUGCCGCGUGAGUGAAGAAGGCCUUCGGGUUGUAAAGCUCUUUCGGCUGGGAAGAAAUCGCACAGGCUAAUACUCUGUGUGGAUGACGGUACCAGCACAAGAAGCACCGGCUAACUACGUGCCAGCCGCCGCAGUAA
Molecule: ribosomal RNA, 506 nt
Filed under: uncultured bacterium
Lineage: Bacteria
Description: partial 16S ribosomal RNA
Rfam family: Bacterial small subunit ribosomal RNA
Source: RNAcentral